Molecule: unclassified non-coding RNA, 375 nt
Filed under: plant metagenome
Description: partial contains 5.8S ribosomal RNA, internal transcribed spacer 2, and large subunit ribosomal RNA
Rfam family: 5.8S ribosomal RNA (bases 1-107)
Source: RNAcentral
AAAAUGCGAUACUUGGUGUGAAUUGCAGAAUCCCGUGAACCAUCGAGUUUUUGAACGCAAGUUGCGCCCGAAGCCAUCCGGCUGAGGGCACGCCUGCCUGGGCGUCACGCAUCGCGUCGCUCCCCACCAUACCUCCCCAACGGGUUGGCAUGGUGUUGGGGGCGGAUAAUGGCCUCCCGUGCUUGUGUUUCGGUUGGCCUAAAUAAGAGUUCCCUUCGGCGGACACACGACUAGUGGUGGUUGAAUAGACCCUCGUCUUUUGUUGCGUGUCGUGAGCUGUAAGGGUAGCACUCAUCAAAGACCCCAUUGUAUCGUCUUCGGAUGAUGCUUCGACCGCGACCCCAGGUCAGGCGGGACUACCCGCUGAGUUUAAGC